Molecule: ribosomal RNA, 254 nt
Filed under: uncultured bacterium
Lineage: Bacteria
Description: partial 16S ribosomal RNA
Rfam family: Bacterial small subunit ribosomal RNA
Source: RNAcentral
CACGUAGGGGGCAAGCGUUGUCCGGAAUCAUUGGGCGUAAAGAGCUCGUAGGCGGCUCAGUAAGUCGGGUGUGAAACCCUCAGGCUCAACCUGGGGACGCCACCCGAUACUGCUGUGGCUAGAGUCCAGUAGGGGAGUGUGGAAUUCCCGGUGUAGCGGUGAAAUGCGCAGAUAUCGGGAGGAACACCAGUGGCGAAGGCGACUACCUGGCCUGUUCUUGACGCUGAGGCGCGAAAGCUAGGGGAGCAAACGGG